RNAcentral lists this unclassified non-coding RNA (1512 nucleotides) under Hevea brasiliensis (rubber tree). Lineage: Eukaryota; Viridiplantae; Streptophyta; Magnoliopsida; Malpighiales; Euphorbiaceae. The record is from RNAcentral.
AGAAUAACAUAAAUUAUCAUAAUAUUCAAUUUUUUUAAACAUAACUCCUUAUGACCUAAACCCUGUUAAUAACAAUGCAUGAACCCUUAGUCAGCCUGUUCAAAACUCUAGUCUUCACAUGAGGGGAAAAAAAUUCAAAACCAUAACAAUUACUCCUUUCAAUGCUUUUUUUUUUUUUUUUUUUAUCAAAGCAUGCCCUGGACAAUUAUUCUCGUCAGUACACCACUGAUAUCAAACCAUGCCUUCUGCAAUUAUCCUGAUCUCUGGAAAAUGAACCUACUUUUACCAUUAUUUCCCAUUCAAUCACUUCCAAAAAUGGCUCUCCUAUUUGACAAAGUCAACAUCUCUCCUCCAGCCUAAACACAGAAACAUAAAUAGAAACAGAGAUCUUGAGGGGCCAAGCCCAAACAAAUCUUUAGCCACCAGGUAAUUUAUUGCUCCAUAAAUGAAAUAAAGACAGCUGCAAGACCUUUUGUGUGGUGUGCACCCUAUGUUGUAUAAGCUGUUUUCCCAAUCAUUCUUAUUAAGACAUGGAGACACAGAUGGUAUUUAUCUAUAAUCUGCACCAACUGCUUCAAGGAUAGACUUGAAACCAUCCCUCCGUAAACAUUCAGCCAGUUCAGCCUUUAACUGAGGAAUUAGUGCAGGUCCACCAUAGGCAAAUGCUGUAUAAAGCUGAACAAGAGUAGCUCCACCUCGUAUUUUCUUGUAUGCAUCCUCACCACUGCUAAUACCCCCACAACCUAUUAAAGGAAUCUUUCCCCUUGUCAAAAUAUACAUCUCUUUUAAGACAUCCACAUCGGUAGAUAGAUCGAAUAGAGGCUUGCCACUUAAACCACCUGCUUCCUCAGCCACUGGGUAGUUCCUUACGGAGUCUGGCCUUGAUAUGGUUGUAUUUGAUAUAAUCAGUCCAUCCAAACGGAGUGCAAGAGCAACUGCUGCAAUGUCUUCAAGGUCUUCCUUGGACAAGUCAGGUGCAAUCUUCACAAGCAAAGGAGGUGGGCCUUCCGCGCCCCAUUGCAUUUCAUCACGAGCAGCUUGAACCUUCUUCACAAGGUCCUUUAAUUGUUUUCUUCCCUGNNNAAGCAUACGCAAUCCAGGAGUAUUGGGCGAUGAAACAUUAAUAACCAAGUAAUCAGCAUACUGGGACAACGUAUGAACCCCUUGUACAUAAUCUGCGGCAGCAUCUUCACUGGUCUUGUUCUUUCCAAGAUUAACCCCAAGAAUGCCAGGUCCAGCUUUGCCUCCAUGUUUCAUGCCAUCACUUGGGGAAGAUGAAGUGCUUGAAGUUUCAUCCAACAUUCUCUUUCCAUGCUGUGCACCCAAUCUCUUUGCAACAACAACAAUGCCUUCACUAUUAAAUCCACAGCGAUUGAUAAUCGCACCUUCCUUACGCAAUCUGAAAAUCCGUGGUUUUGGAUUACCCUCUUGUGGAACAGGGGUAACAGAGCCAACCUCUACAAAGCCAAAACCUAAUCCAAGCAAGCCUUCAAUAGCCUCAGCAUUUUUAUC